UGUGUGUGUGUGGUCAUACAGACAAUCUGGUGUGUCACCACUCUUCUCUAAGCCACGUGUAAGAUGGGGCAUGAGGUAGUGACCCUUCCUAGGGUCCCUUCUUUAACAAAUAUCUUCCAAAUGAGGAGUUGGGAACCCAGAGUGCUAGACCAAGUCUGGCACUCGGAUGACCAGGUCAACACCACUGAAGUCACGUGUGUAACUGAUGAUGUCACAGUUCAGUGGACAGUGGAUGCCCCGGCUAUGUGUUAAAGCAAUAGAAACCCUAACCAGAACAGAAACAUGGGCGCCAUCCUGAACGAAGGCAAAUGGGAAGAGUAACUAGUGAUGACUUCAGGGGACAGCACCAUACCGGACUUUGUCCUACCUUUGAGAUGAGGUCCUACUCUAUAGUCCUGGCUGGCCCAGAACAUGUGAGGCUCCUCUUGAUUCUGCCUCCAGGGAGCUCUGAGAAAAGGGCCCAUCCCGUGCAGUAAGGCCCUGGGAGAAACUUCCUUGUGGUCUCUCUUGUUUUACCAGGGUUCUGUCCCUCUCAGAGGAAUCAUUGGAUUCAGCCUGAACGGAGAGGACACUCCAACGGUGUCACACAUGGAUGGGACAGCCCAGCCCUGGUUGGCCUGUGACAGUUUCCUUGGGGGCUGGAGGACUCACAUCUGGGAAGGGCAGAGUCCCCAAGGGCAGAGCUGAGAAAUGGACCUGUUUCCUGCCACCCAAUUUCCACUCGGCAGUGUGAUUUCUCUUUGUGUUUUCCAUAGUCUACCAUUUACACUGCUGCCACACCAUCCACAUUUUGGUAAACGUUUCUCGUGACCAGCUGACGUCAGGAGACCCCAGAACUGUGCGUAACACAACUGAUUCAUCUCCCCUGGCAGCGGACAUCUUGACCUGCCUCCGGAGCUUUGCUUUGUCUUCCGUAGGUCAAGGCGUUGGUUCUCUCUCUCUCUUUUUUUUUAAUAAAUAAAGUGGAACCUGACUCACGACUCA
Long non-coding RNA from Mus musculus (house mouse), 984 nucleotides. RefSeq annotates it as predicted gene, 31473. The record is from RefSeq and is a predicted model, not a curated record. Lineage: Eukaryota; Metazoa; Chordata; Mammalia; Rodentia; Muridae. The transcript has 4 exons.